This 440-nucleotide ribosomal RNA is filed under the name uncultured bacterium. RNAcentral's name for it is "partial 16S ribosomal RNA". It matches the Rfam family "Bacterial small subunit ribosomal RNA", at positions 338 to 795 of the family's 1533-position model. The record is from RNAcentral.
CCUACGGGUGGCAGCAGUAGGGAAUUUUGCGCAAUGGGCGAAAGCCUGACGCAGCAACACCGCGUGAAUGUUAAGCCCUUCGGGGUGUAAAGUUCUGUCAAUAGGGACGAAUUUUGACUGUACCUAUAAAGGAAGCACCGGCUAACUCCGUGCCAGUAGCCGCGGUAAUACGGGGGGUGCAAGCGUUGUCCGGAAUCAUUGGGCGUAAAGCGUUCGUAGGCGGCAAGGUAAGUCUGAUGUUAAAGGCGGAAGCUCAACUUCCGUAGGGCACUGGAUACUGGCGAGCUUGAAUGCGGUAGAGGUAAAGGGAAUUCCUGGUGUAGCGGUGAAAUGCGUAGAUAUCAGGAGGAACAUCGGUGGCGUAAGCGCUUUACUGGGCCGUAAUUGACACUGAGGAACGAAAGCCGGGGUAGCAAAUGGGAUUAGAUACCCUUGUAGUC